RNA transcript from Malaclemys terrapin pileata, 1518 nucleotides. It is a transcript of the gene named cocaine- and amphetamine-regulated transcript protein-like, with no coding region annotated. The transcript is spliced from 4 exons. The record is from RefSeq and is a predicted model, not a curated record. NCBI's taxonomy places the organism in Eukaryota, Metazoa, Chordata, Testudines, Emydidae.
CAACCCGAGUUUGGACGCAGCUACAGCACCAUGGACAGCCCCAGGUGGCUGCUGCUCGCCGCCGGCUGCUGGCUGCUGCUGCUGCCGCCCGGGGACUGGGGGCUGGAGACCAGGGCACUCCGCAGCUUUUACCCCCAGGAGCGCCCUCCAUCCAGCGAGAAGGAGCUGCUCGGGGCUUUGCAGGAGGCUCUGGAGAAGCUGCAGAAAAAGCGGAUUCCACCCUGGGGCAAGAAACUGGGACAAGUGCCAGCGUGCGACGUGGGGGAGCUAUGCGCCGUCAGAAAAGCCUCCCGAAUUGGAAAGCUGUGCAACUGCCCCAGAGGCGCCACCUGCAACUUUUUCCUGCUGAAAUGCUUGUAAACCUCAAUACCUCCAAGAGCUAAGAUAACAAAAGAAACCAAAUCCUGUUGAACUGUGCUUGACACGCACUGCUUUGUCUUUGUUGUUGUGUUUUUUUCUAUGUAGUCAAUAAUCUACCCAUGUAAAAUACUUAUCUCCUUUGUAAAAUAUUUCUUCUCCCUCUGUAUUUGUCCUCAGAUUAGGAAUGAAGACCACAGAGACAACCCCCCAACUUGAAGCAAAUAUCACCAGCCACCACACACCACUGAACAAAAACACUGACCCAGGAACCUAUCCUUGCAACAAAGCGCGAUGCCAACUCUGUCCACAUAUCUAUUCAAGUGACAUCAUCAUAGGACCUAAUCACAUCAGCCAUGCCAUCAGGGGCUCGUUCACCUGCACAUCUACCAAUGUGAUAUAUGCCAUCAUGUGCCAGCAAUGCCCCUCUGCCAUGUACAUUGGCCAAACCGGACAGUCUCUACGCAAAAGAAUAAAUGGACACAAAUCUGACAUCUGGAAUCAUAACAUUCAAAAACCAGUAGAGAACACUUUAACCUGUCUGGUCACUCAAUAACAGACCUGAGGGUGGCAAUUUUGCAACAGAAAACUUCAAAAACACUCCAACGAGAAACUGCUGAACUUGAAUUGAUUUGCAAACUAGAUACAAUCAAUUUAGGCUUGAAUAGAGACUGGGAAUGGCUGAGCAAUUAAAAAAAUAGAAUCAAUCACCCCAUGUAAGUAUUCUCACACUUCUUAUCAAACUGUCUGUACUGGGCUAUCUUGAUUAUCACUUCAAAAGUUUUUUUUUUCUCUUACUUAAUUGGCCUCUCAGACUUGGUAAGACAGCUCCCACCUUUUCAUGCUCUCUGUAUGUGUAUAUAUAUCUCCUCAAUAUAUGUUCCCUUCUAUGCAUCCGAAGUAGUUGGCGGUAGCCCACGAAAGCUUAUGCUCAAAUAAAUUUGUUAGUCUCUAAGGUGCCAAAAAUGAUUAGGGGGCUGGAGCACAUGACUUAUGAGGAGAGGCUGAGGGAACUGGGAUUGUUUAGUCUGCAGAAGAGAAGAAUGAGGGGGGAUUUGAUAGCUGCUUUCAACUACCUGAAAGGGGGUUCCAAAGAGGAUGGAUCUAGACUGUUCUCAGUGGUACCAGAUGACAGAACAAGGAGUAAUGGUCUCAAGUUGC